GACGAACGCUGGCGGCGUGCUUAACACAUGCAAGUCGAACGGAAAGGCCCUGCUUUUGUUGGGUGCUCGAGUGGCGAACGGGUGAGUAACACGUGAGUAACCUGCCCUUGACUUUGGGAUAACUUCAGGAAACUGGGGCUAAUACCGGAUAGGAGCUCCUGCUGCAUGGUGGGGGUUGGAAAGUUUCGGCGGUUGGGGAUGGACUCGCGGCUUAUCAGCUUGUUUGUGGGGUAGUGGCGUACCAAGGCUUUGACGGGUAGCCGGCCUGAGAGGGUGACCGGCCACAUUGGGACUGAGAUACGGCCCAGACUCCUACGGGAGGCAGCAGUGGGGAAUAUUGCACAAUGGGCGGACGCCUGAUGCAGCAACGCCGCGUGCGGGAUGACGGCCUUCGGGUUGUAAACCGAUUUCGCAUGUGACGAAGCGUGAGUGACGGUAAUGGGUAAAGAAGCACCGGCUAACUACGUG
RNAcentral lists this ribosomal RNA (468 nucleotides) under uncultured bacterium. RNAcentral describes it as "partial 16S ribosomal RNA". It matches the Rfam family "Bacterial small subunit ribosomal RNA", at positions 28 to 507 of the family's 1533-position model. The record is from RNAcentral.